AUUUAUAUAGUUUAAAAAAUUAAAACAUUAUAUUUUCACUAUAAAACUAAUAUUUCAAAUAAAUAUUUAUAAAUA
Molecule: transfer RNA, 75 nt
Filed under: Dolichoderus quadripunctatus
Lineage: Eukaryota; Metazoa; Arthropoda; Insecta; Hymenoptera; Formicidae
Description: tRNA-Glu
Source: RNAcentral